Molecule: ribosomal RNA, 321 nt
Filed under: Allapsidae sp.
Lineage: Eukaryota; Cercozoa; Glissomonadida; Viridiraptoridae
Description: SSU rRNA
Rfam family: Eukaryotic small subunit ribosomal RNA (bases 105-321)
Source: RNAcentral
GAUUUCUGGCUUGGUGCGCUUGGCCCGCCGCGGUUACGCGGUGAGUGCCGGGUCGUGCCUGCCAUCCUUCUAGAACACGUUCCUACCCUUCACUGGGCCGGGGACGCUAUCUAGAUCUUUUACUUUGAAAAAAUUAGAGUGUUUAAAGCAGGCUUUUGCUAUGAAUACAUUAGCAUGGAAUAAUAAUUUAGGACUUCGGUUCUAUUUUGUUGGUUUCUAGGACUGAAGUAAUGAUUGAUAGGGAUAGUUGGGGGUGCUAGUAUUCAGUGGCCAGAGGUGAAAUUCUCGGAUUCACUGAAGACUAACUUAUGCGAAAGCAUU